CGCGCCUGCCUUGCUGCCAACUUAGCCAAAGCGGCUGAGGGGCCUCCGCCCAGCUCUGGGGAGAGCGGCGCCGGCGGAAGGGCGGGGCGAGAGCCCUGGACAUCAGCUCCUGGGACAGUUUCUCAAAGAAGGACCAAAGUUUUGUCAAGAACUCCCAGAUGAAGACCUUCCUAGACCUGUAAAGUGGGAUUACCCAGUUCUUGACUUCACAAGGAAGUUUCAACCAAUUCUGAUGGAACAACCAGGGAGGCCCAAAUGACUGCCACCCAUGAGCCAAGGACCUGAUCUCUUUUCCUUUAGACCUAAUGCCCUACUCUACCGGAGAUCCACAACCUUUCUAAUCCCCACCCCGCCUCCUCGUCCCGCCCCCCGCGCCCCAAAAACUAUGGAGAAAAAGGAGGUCUGCCCAAGGCUGGACCGAAGUCAUCCUGCCCCUUCUUCAAAUGAGAGAC
This 452-nucleotide long non-coding RNA is filed under the name Mus caroli (Ryukyu mouse). RNAcentral describes it as "Hoxd antisense growth associated long non-coding RNA (MGP_CAROLIEiJ_G0005407.1)". The record is from RNAcentral. Lineage: Eukaryota; Metazoa; Chordata; Mammalia; Rodentia; Muridae.